This 27-nucleotide non-coding RNA is filed under the name Homo sapiens (human). Lineage: Eukaryota; Metazoa; Chordata; Mammalia; Primates; Hominidae. The record is from RNAcentral.
UGAGACUGACCAAGCUGCAGCAGGAGC